This 393-nucleotide long non-coding RNA is filed under the name Homo sapiens (human). RNAcentral's name for it is "non-protein coding lnc-ZNF445-5:2". Lineage: Eukaryota; Metazoa; Chordata; Mammalia; Primates; Hominidae. The record is from RNAcentral.
CUCCGCCUUCUUACCGGCCGCCCUGAGGGGUCUCGGCGCGCUCGGCUGAGAGCUUUAGGAGGCGCGAGCGAGCACUCCGACUAGGCCGGAGGGACUCGGAAAAUGAUGGUCCGGCAGGUGGUGGGUCCUGACCCAAGGGCCUGCAAGGAACGGAGAAGGGCAACCGAGCACGCGCUGGAUCUUGGGGAAGAAGGGGAAAGGGACUGCUGGAGGAGGCGCGCAUGCGCCGUGCGGUCCUUCGCCCCGGGCGCCCUGGCAGGGGGCGAGGCUCUGCGGAACUCCCGGAGCUGGCGCCAGGGAACAAGUCUCAGUGGAGAGCCUCGAAUUUUAAAAGUCUCAUUUAAGUAUUUCUUUUGGUUUUCCUUGUAUAAAUAUAGCUAACUUUUAAACAUU